Molecule: RNA transcript, 5285 nt
Organism: Arvicola amphibius (Eurasian water vole)
Lineage: Eukaryota; Metazoa; Chordata; Mammalia; Rodentia; Cricetidae
Gene: Pheta2
Gene name: PH domain containing endocytic trafficking adaptor 2
Exons: 4
Source: RefSeq, a predicted model, not a curated record
UGGGCGCGUUCCGGCUCGCAGCGAGUCUGCCUGAUCUCCUCCGUGCACCGCCCCAGGGGCGCGGGUGAUGGUCCGCACUGCUCGCGCUCAGUAAGUGGAGGUGCAGUGAAUUUCUACUGAUAGCCAAAGGAAACAGCCCAGAAACUUGGUCUUUAACCGCUAAAAACGGUAGUGAAGAGGCUGGAUGGGAAUUCAGCCCUUGAAAGGUUAGGAGGCUGUCCCCUCCAUCUGACACCCAAGGGAUUGUUCGCCCAUCCACUUCCCAAAUUCAUUCAUCCAUUCAAUUAUUUAUUGAACAUAUGCUGGUGCCAAAUGCUAUUUCUGAAUGCCUUGGCCCUGAUGGUAGUCAUAAUCGGCCCCUAACGGAAUAGUACCGUCUUCCACAUCCCAGGUAAUGGCAAACGUACUUCUCUGUGCCACCAUCCAAUGCUCAGUACGCUCUUCCUUCUUUUUUCCUCAGCCUUCAUAUGUAAUUCUCCACCCAUCCUGUGCUCUCUACCUUCGAACUUCACCUCAUCACACUGUAAGCCUGGGCUCAUCGCAUAUGGUCUGCCUGGUUCACAGAAGUCCCUCAGUGACCUUCUGCUUCCAUCUAAGGAGACUUUCUCCACAGCAGACAAGGCAAACCUUGAAAACGCAGCUCUGUGGGCUGGAGAGAUGGCUCAGUGCUUAGCAGCACUCUUUGCUUUUGCAGAGGACAGGGGUUCAGUGUCUAGAUUCACGUGGUGGCUCAACAACUAUCACUACCCCAGUUCUAAGGGAUCUGACACCGUCUUCUGAACUCCGAGGCAUGCAUAUGGUGCACACAUACAUACAUGCAGGCAAAACUCCCAGACACAUAAAAUAACCUAAAUAGAACCCAACCCAACCCUGGUCAUUCCUCUCUCAGUUUGGAGAAAUGGCUUUCCUAAGCCUCACCCUCUGCCUUUUGAUCCUGUUUCCUACAGUUAUCUUCCUCAUUGCUCUGCUUGUGGCUCUUCAAACACAGUAACUCAGGGGCCUUUGGAACUAGCAGUUAGUUCUCUCUGAUGAUACCCUCAUUUCCCUUAAUUAUUUGUCAAAGUGAGGUCUACUCCGACCAUUUAAACCUCAAGCUCCCCACCAUGAGAAGCUCACGCUCCAUUUCCCCGGAUGAUUUUCACCUUGUAACAUAUUUACUCCAGGUGAUACUUUUAAUUGAAGAAAAGUUGGUAAAUAACAACAAUAACAAACACCGCACCCCACAAAAACCACCCAGCACAACUCAAAGCAGGGUGUAGCUACUCCUCUCUUUCUCUACAUUGUGAGGUCAGGGAGGGGACCUCAGAGCUGACCUAAAUGUCAAGGAGUUCUGAGGCUAGUGAUGGGGGUUGGGUGAGAAGGAAGGGCUCUCUGGGCUUCAGGAACUGCAGAAAAGAGGUUGAGGUGGGAACCCACAAGCUCCUGGGCAGGCGUUUGAACGCAUUUGCCCUUGGCUUCUGGGAGUCCUGCCUGCCUUAGUUCUAUCCUGCAGUCUUCCCUUAAGCGUUUGGAUGGACAAACUCCAGGUAGAGCUUUGGGACCACAAGUGAACUGCAGACCCUCACUGGCGGGUGAGAGAAGCCGUAAUGGCCAAUUUCUAGAGGCAGAGAUGGGGCUGACCCAAGGAUUUGGUUGCAGGCUCUGUAGGAGCUCGCCUUAUGAAGCGCCCCAUCCGAUGAAUUGCCCGGCUUGGCUCUGCCAGCGUGGGGUGGGACUGGCUGGGCGGUAAGGGGGAACUUUUGGGGAAAAAAAACUGUCUAUUUCUCUCUCCUUUGGUGGUGGGCUGGAGGCCUGCGGGUAGCCUGACGUUGGGCUUGGGGUUCGAGGUCAUCCAUCACCGACAAGUCCUGUGGCUCAGGCGGGUCCUCACCGCCCAGGUCCUCAGUUUCCCUCCGGUGUGCGUGCCGAGGCGACUUUGCAGAUCCCGAGGCCUGGUGUGUACUGGGCGGGGAGAGACCGGGGCGGUAACACGAGCCUCCCGGGCGGGGUCUCCUGGCUCCCGCGGCCACGUCUGCGGCCCGGGCGGAGGCGCGGGGUCCGGAGCAGAGAGAGGUCGCAAAGCACCCGACGAGCCAGGCUCAGGCUCUGGAGGUGAGUGCGGGUCGGGCGGGCUCCGGGAGGAGGUGACCUGGAGGGCGUGGCUGAAGAGCCCGGGCGGGAUCCAGGGAUCCAGGCACCCAUAGGGCCGCCCCAGGGAGAGGCCUCAUCUUUAGGCGCUCGUGGGCUCGGUCCCUCCGUGGGGCCCACGAAGGGCUGCGGCUAGAAGGGCCUUCCUCUUUUCCGGGCCUGCUUGCUUCUCUUUGGAGCCCUUCUUCCCCUCCCGCAUCCUUGCUUCAAUUUCAUCACUACUUGAUGAAUUCAUUAUUUAAUUGUAUUUGCUUACUGCGUGUCUCUCCUACCGCAAAGUAGAUUUCAGAAGGACAGGGGCAUAGUUUUGUCCCCCGAUGUGUUCUUACGAAUUCAGCAAGUCUGCACGGGGCUGAUUAUUGGUGGUCACUGGACAAUCAAGCUUAUAGACACCCUGCAGAUGGGGACAGUGAAGAGUGAAAACAUUGACAGAGGGAGGCGACGUGGACAGAGCCAGAAAAUGGAGGGUUGCUGGCCAGUCGACCUUAGAACAAGCCGCUUUGGGUGCAGCAAUGAUCACGAGAGAUUUUUGUGGCUCUUCUGAUAAGUGUGUCACCAACAAGACCCCACCAAGAAGGUGUGAGACCAUAUACUGCUUCUCCUUCAUUAUGACUCUUGCGGGUUGAGCUGCCAUAGGAACCUUGGAGCACCAGAAUUUGUUUUUUGAUAAUCCAGUUUGUGUGUGUGUGUGGUCCUUUCAUGACCUUUGAAAAGAACAGCAAGGAAGACGAGUCAGUGUCCUUCACAGAUGAAGUCUGAGAGCUGCAGGGACACAGUAGCAGCCACAGGACUGGGCUGGAGGUCUUCUGAGCUUGGGUCCUUUCCUCCAGGGGCUACCAUCUCUACCUCAGCGUUCUUGUGGGAGCCAUGAAGCUGAACAAGAGGAGCGUGACCCACUAUGCCCUGAGUGACUCUCCAGCAGAUCACACUGGCUUCCUUCGUACUUGGGGGGGACCAGGGACAGCACCUACUUCCAGUGGUGCUGGCCGAAGAUACUGGUUUGUGCUCAAGGGCAACCUGCUAUUCUCUUUUGAGAAUAGAGAAAGCCGGGCCCCUCUGAGCCUGGUGGUGUUGGAGGGCUGCACGGUGGAGCUGGCCGAGGCUCCUGUGCCUGAGGAAUUUGCCUUCGCCAUUCGCUUUGAUGCCCCUGGAGUGCACCCGCACCUGCUGGCAGCAGAUGGGCAGGUUGCCCAGGAGGCCUGGGUAAAGGCACUAUCCCGAGCCAGCUUUGGCUACAUGAGACUUGUAGUUCGAGAACUGGAGAGCCAGUUGCAGGAUGCCCGUCAGAGCCUGGCCUUGCAUCGCUGUGUGUCCCAGAAGUCUGUUGCCAGCUGCAGUAAGCCUCGGACUCCUGACCGCUCAGCUCCAGGCCCUGAGAAUGGCUACUUUCUCCCUAGGGACCGAAAUUCCAAUGGUUCUGUGGAAGAAAGGGGGAGCAGGCCAAUGGGUCGGGAUUUGACUGAAUGGGAGUUACAGGGCCCUGCCAGCCUCCUCCUAAGCAGGGGACAGAGCCCUGUGUCCCCUGAGACCUCCUGCUUCUCUACCCUGCAUGACUGGUAUGGGAAGGAGAUCAUGGAGCUAAGGCGAGGAUGGCAGCAGAGGGCCAAGGGGAGCCAGCCAGAGAGCAAGCAACAGGACAGGCCCUGAGUCCCGGCACUUUGCACUGUGACCCUGGCCUGCUGGCCAGGAUGCCAGGGUCAGUACUUCAGGAGUUAAAUGUUUACUCAUUUCUCAGAUUGCUGUGUGUGUGUGUCCCCCUCCUGCUCUGUAGACUUUCUCCAACUUGCAAUCCUCCCCUCUGCCUGGAGUGAACUGAGGAAUCCUGACUUCCAACCUGUGUCCUGAGGCCUAGAAAGGCCGGGUGGCUGAUGGGAACAUACUGUAAUGUCAGAAGGGGCCGUGCCCCCUGCCCCUGCCGGACACUCUAGCUGUAAUUUCCAACAUAAGAAGUCUUGGGCAUCUGAAUGCCAGUGGUGCCAGCAGACGUUGCCCGAGGACUGACAUCGACAUGGUUUGUGCAGGGCUCUCUGUAGGAGAGGCUCUUCCGGUGCUAAGGGGGAUUUUUCUCCCCCGCCACCUUGUCAGUGCCCAGUGCUGGCCAUGGCCCUGGGAGAGGCAGGCAGCCUUUAUCUAGGAGCGGCCCUUCCUGAUCUGCUGUCCACGGCUUGUCUGCCAAGAACCCUCGUGGCUACUUUCUCCUGUAUCAUGCCAAGUGUUGUUUUCUUCUAAGAGGACAAAUGGCUGGGUCUACAGAGCCAGAAGCCAGGCCCAUCUGUCCCUUUAUGUAUGUGCGGUGACGGUGACUGUGGGAAAAUGUGGGGCUUGAUAGAGCUAUACCUCUUUCCCCAACAAAACUGCCUCUUCCUGACCACCCUGCUUUCCCUGUCUGGGGACUUGGGGCAACCUGACCCAGAUCCACCCAGGCCUAAAGGCCAGUCUUUGGCCUCCAGGAGACUUGAGUUUCAUGGUCUCCUUGGCCAGGGCCAGGUCCUGUGUUGCCAGGCAUGGUUCUCAGCCUGCCUAUAGCGUCAUAGCCAUCUGCCCUUGAUUGUACACACAGUACUACGCCUUUGCUAACGUUGUUAGUGUUCAUUCUUCAGUUUGGUUUUUGGAGACCAGGUCUCACUUUGUAGCCUCUACAGGCCUGGAACUCAUUCUUAGCUUUGCAAGCACUGGGAUUAUAGUUAUGAAUCACCACACCCUGUUUGGUUUUGUUUGCUUUGUAGCCCUUCUUGGUUCUCGGGAAGGCCUGCCCUUUAGGUUUUUGUUUUCUUAGAACAGUAAAGUUUGCAGGGUGUGGUCGCAAAGGAGUAGAGAAGGAUCAGGAGUUCAAGGCCAUCUAAGGUUUUUGACUAGCUACACGCGAGACCCUUUCAGAAAAAAAUUAUUCAUUUUGGUUAUUAUAACCCGUGUUUACAAAUGAAGAGUCGGAGCUGCGAAGCCAGAGUCCGAACCUAGCGACUGAGUGAGUCCGGGAACCUGUCCUGCUGGUGCAACCUCCACCGGUACAGUUCUGCUCUUGCUUGUUCCCUCGCCCUAUGGGAAGCCUUCUGCUCACUGCACCUGUUGUUCGAGUGUUCACAGACGCUAUGGGCUCUUGUUAACUUUUUAUUGUUAAAGUUUCUUUUUAUAAAUUCAAAUACCAAGUAAAGUUUUUC